CUGAAGAAAGUGUAAUUGUACACACAGAUGAAUUCUAUGCUUUAUUCCAUAGAAAAACCACACCAUUUUGUAAAGACACACAUUUUAAUUCCCAACCAGUUUAAUUACCACACAAUUAUAAUUGUUCAAAGCUUCAGUUUGAAGAUAUAUAACAUCUGCAAAGGGGUUAAUAUCAGUUAGAGAAUCUAUGGCAUCUUAAAACGGGUUAAGGCUUACUAUUGCUGUCAAGUGCAUAAAGAAGAAGAACAAUGUGUAUAGCUUUCAAUUUUCAGGGGAAAAAAAGUAAAGAGGGAAUUCUUUCAGAAAAAAAAAAACGAAAAAAAACAUAGCUAUAGGGAAAUAGGUUAUCCCUCAAACUUUACUCUUAUGAAAAUGCAGGAAUCUGUCGUUCUUAUCCUGUUAUCAAUUUCUCAGCCGCAGAGUAAUUAUCUUUUGAACUGCAGUUUGUUUCAGGUGUGUUCCAACUGUCAAUUAAGUGUUUCUGGAUGAAAUACAAUGUGUUAGAGACACUGCAGCUCUCUUUGUCUGCCUCUUCUGGCCCAUCUACACCUCUAAAUAACCACUUUACUUAAAUCAUCAGUGCCUCUUACAUGUUUCUGCAUAUACUAACAGAAUUACCUAUGAUAGUUUUUUUUCUGAGUUAAUUGAAACAAAAUGAGCUAAUGUAUUAAAAAUGAAUUAGUGUUUAACGUUGGUGUGAAAUACAUUCAGGCCUACUCUUUUGCUUUUGUGGCUCAGAGGUAGCUACAUUUUUUUAAGUAUUGGUGAAAGUUAAUGCUUCAAUAGAAAAAUUAUUUUAAUUUUUUUAUUUUGAAUAUGUUUGACUUCGAUGCUAUUUUUAUAUUGCUGCUAUAACUAUAUAUUAGCUAUUUUUGCCUGUAGUUCUUUACAUAUUAAGUCCUAUUUUCUUUUAACAAUUAUUCUCAGGUGCUAGUAAGUUUAAGUGCAGGUAUUUCAGAUAUGCUCCUUUCUAAGCACACAUGAAGGAAUUCCCUCUGUGGCACAAUGCAGAGGCUGUGGCAUAGAUCAUAGCUAUAGCUCAGAUUCAAAGCCUGGCCUGGGAAUUUCCAUAUGCCAUGGGUAUGGCCCUAAAAAAUAAAAAAUAAACACUCGUGAAGGAGAAUUGUUAAAUAGCUAGGACAAACAUAAAUGUUUUAAAGUUUUGGUUUUUUUUGUUUGUUUGUUUGUUUUGCCUUUUUUUAGGGCCACACCCAGGGCAUAUUGAAGUUCCUAGGCUAGGGGUUGAAUCAGAGUUACAGCUGCCAGCCUACACCACAGCCACAGCAUAUCUUGUAUCCUGCUACUUUGCUGAAUUCGUUGAUCAGUUCAAGUAGCUUUUGUGUGGAGUCCUUAGAGUUUUCUAUAUGCAGUAUCACGUCAUCUGCAUAGAGUAACAAUUUUACCUCUUCUCUUCCAAUUUUGAUACCUUUUAUUUUUUUUGUUUGAGUGCUAUGGCUAGGACUUUCAGCACUAUGUUGAAUAAAAAUGGUGAGAGUGGGCAUCCUUAUAUUUUUUUAAUAUGUGCACAGGGAGCACAUGGCUGUAGAGAGUUGACCACAUAUCAAUUAUACAAUUUUUUUUUUUUUUUGUCUUUUGUUGUUGUUGUUGCUAUUUCUUGGGCCGCUCCCGCCGCAUAUGGAGGUUCCCAGGCUAGGGGUCAAAUCGAAGCUGUAGCCACCGGCCUAUGCCAGAGCCACCGCAACACGGGAUCUGAGCCGCAUCUGCAACCUACACCACAGCUCACAGCAACGCUGGAUCGUUAACCCACUGAGCAAGGGCAGUGACCGAACCCGCAACAACCUCAUGGUUCCUAGUCGGAUUCGUUAACCACUGUGCCACGACGGGAACUCCCAAUCAUACAAUUUUUAAAUCACGUUUUCAGCUCUGCUAAUCAGAGAAUAACUAGGACAGAUGAAACUAAAUGUGGAAACUAGGGUGACUCAUUGGAUGUAAAGUAGAGCAUUUGUUUGGAAUUUUCUUGUAACACAGUUGGUUAAGGAUCCUGCGCUGUCGCUGCAGUGGCUCAGGUCACUGCUGUGGCACAGGUUCGAUGCUAGGCCCAAGAAGGUCCAUAUGCCGCAGGUGUGGCCAGAAAAGAAAUAAAGUAGAACACUUUUUGAAAAUAUGAAGGGGUGAGAAUACCAAGCAAACAUGACGAGUAAAUAUGUAAGAUAUUACAUUUAUAGGAGGCAAGGCAUUUGUCCCUUAUCAGUAUCACACAGAAAGAAAAAAACAAAAACCAUGCUGUCCAUCAGGUACCUUCUAUUUUUUGGACUCCCUUUGUCCUAUGUCAGAUACCUCAGGGUUCAGGUAUAGUGAGUUUUCCACCCUUUUUGAACACUGCCAUAAGUUUUUAAAACUAAUCCGUCUUUCUCCAAAGUUAUCACUGUGAUUUUAAAUUUAUUUUAAAAUCAUAGGGUUUGAUCAUCUAAAGUUCUCUGAGAUUUUUUGUUCUAACCUCUAGGAUAGUAUCUGGAACUGUACUUGGAGGAUACUAUUACAUCAAGGUAACAUCCUUAUAUUGGACACCUAUAGUUCUUAUAUUGGAAUCAAAAACAAGUUUCUAUUUAAAAUAAUUCAGCAUGAAAAAUACAAAGAACAGAUUCAUCAGGUUUGCUAAAUAAAAAAUACAAAUAGUAUAUGCAAUAUAAGACUAAGAUGGCACAAAGUUUCUUUCAACAACUGUUUGAUAGCAAUUGCCUGAAAUCAUUUCGUUGAGAAUGACUUAGACUACUUGAGAAUGAUAAAUAGACAAUCCAAGAUCUCUGUAAAUCAGAGGCCAUGAACAGUUAGCAAGGUCUAUCAUAAGAAAUGAUAAGAGAGAAAAUCCCUGGACCCCUGCAGAAGGAAAACUCCCUAAAACUAACUAUGAAAUGGGUAAGUUAAUGAUUAGGUUUAAUUAUUGACAUCAUUAAAUGGAAUAAACAUUCAUGGUCAAUGACUUUAAUUCACUGUCAUAUUGGAGAAAUAUUUACAAACAAAAACUCUCAAAGUUCAGUAUAUACUGAUAGUAGGGUUCACUUCUAAAUGAUAAAGCUCCAUGUUUGUCUCACUUCUAUAUACAGGAUGAAUGAGAUAUUUAUCAUUGAUGAAAAUGUGAUUAAGAUACUAAAACAGGUAUCAGAAAAGUUUUUCUUUAAAGACCAGGUAGAAAAUAUUGCAGUCUUUGUAGUCAUAUGGCCUCUGUGGCAUUUGCCACUACUCAGUUCUGUCACUAAAGCACAAAAACAGUCAUAGACAAUACGCAACAAAUUGGUAUCAUUGCAUUUCAAGAAAAAUUUAUUAACAGAGAAUGAACUAGAAUUAACCCACAUACCAGUUUGUAGAUAUAUGUACCAGAAGGUGCUUAAAAUUUGUAGAUCUUGCUGUUGUGAGUAAUCAUUCUGAGUGGCUCAGUUAACCUGAAAGUUCCCUAUAACACCACAAUUAUGCCUAGCUAUCACAGCUAUGGAAAGUAUAUAUUGUGCAGAAUUGGGGCUAC
RNAcentral lists this long non-coding RNA (3481 nucleotides) under Sus scrofa (pig). RNAcentral's name for it is "lncRNA (ENSSSCG00000053666.1)". Lineage: Eukaryota; Metazoa; Chordata; Mammalia; Artiodactyla; Suidae. The record is from RNAcentral.